This 66-nucleotide transfer RNA is filed under the name Homarus gammarus (European lobster). Its description in RNAcentral is "tRNA-Phe". The record is from RNAcentral. Lineage: Eukaryota; Metazoa; Arthropoda; Malacostraca; Decapoda; Nephropidae.
ACUUACAAAAUUUAAGAUCAGAAUUUUGCUUUGAAGCAGCAAGGGUGGCAAAUUUGCCUAUAAGUA